GGUUGCAAUAAAAUAGAAUGUCGAGUGGCAUUCGAAGGAUUAACCCUUUGCAUUCGAAAGCUUUCCACUGGAAAUAUUCUAUACUUUCUAAUUGGAUGUAGACGAGUUCUUUAAUAUGAAUUUAACAAAUCAUUCAUAAAUUAGGUAGCAGAACUAUUUCCUUUGAAUACCAAGUAAAUACCAAGAUUUAUAAUUUUGCUGGAUCAAAUCAUCUAGGAGUCGCCUCUCGAGUGUAAAGGGUUAACAAUUCCGGAACGUUGAUUUUGAACCGAAGAAGCGUCGGAUGUUCGCCUAUUGUGCGCCGGAGCGAGGUACGAAACGGAGAAACCGACGAUUUCCUGUGAAACACAAUUCGCCUCCCUCGAAAGCUAUCAGAUCUCACGUUCUUCGAUGCAUCCAAUAAAAUGUUCUUGAUAAACACGACCGAUGGUGUGUGAUUCGUAGCGAGUAAGUCCGCGGCUGGCCGGGGAUCCGGUCGGCCCGCGAUCGAGGCUGGAACUGACGAUCGCUUCAAUACAACUGUUAUGUAAUCUCCGUGAAAAUCGUCUUUCGUUUACGACGCUUCGUCGACAGGUUUUUCAAAUAUCGCACGAUCAGUUGGAAUAAUCGAAAUUAUUGUUCCUCAAACUCGACACCGUCAGGCUUGACGAAGGUUCACCGACGUCGUGUUUUAACACUUUGACCGCCACGUCAACGAAGUUCGGGUGGUACCGUUUUUAUAGAAAAUUGAAACGUUCGCUUUCCUCGUGGCAUAUCGAACCGAAUUUUGUUGGUACGAGGUAUAAGAAGCAUAGAGCAAUUACGAUGAAGAGUCUUCGCAUUUUAGUUUCUAUUUGAUUGAAACUGUUUCGACGAGGAGCGUCUACUUAGCAGUCAGAGUGUUAACACGUUCCGUGCCACGUGUGCCAUUUAUGGUACGCGCGGAAUUUUUCCAAGGAAACGUUUCUUGCGAGACAUGUUCCAGAGAACAAUGGUACAAGUGAAACGAGAGAAAUGUGAAGAAAUAAUGGAAUAUCCGCAGAGUCAGCGGAAGCUUGAUUGUAACUUGAUCUAUCAUUGGGAAAUCAGCGUUUGCAACACCUAACCGGAACUGGCACGGAAUGUGUUAACCGCGAAUAUUCAACAUUUCCUGACGAGACGAAGACGAUAUUUUAUGAAACUAACUAGAAGAGUUACUUUAUUUCAAUACUUCUCAAAUUGAUGCGUUAUACGGAGUAUAAUAUUAACCCCUUGCCCUAUGAUUUACUUUUUACUUUUCGACUAUCAUUAACAAUUCAUUAGGAAAAGAAUCUUCCUCUAUAUUCGUGUCUACUCCAAUGACUGAUAACAGAGAAGCUUAAUUUAUAUUCAAAGCGAGUAAAUACUAUUUAGAUUUCUCAGAUUCAGUGGAACAUUUGUUUUAGCCCGACACGAGUAGGUCAAGGGGUUAACCAUCAGAUUUGAUAGUUCCACUGUACAUAAUCAAAUGUUCGAGAGUCGCCUCGAGUGCAGAGGGUUGAAUCGAGACUCGAGGAGACCCGCAGCGACCCGAACGUCCUCGCCGUUCCCAUCCGUUUUCUCGUCCGAGGAAAAAUGAUCGUCGAAGACGAAUACCGCACACCGCGGCCCGGUGUCCUCUUCGAUCCCGGCGCGCGUGUUUUCCAGAAACAACAGCCUUGGAGGGUAUCGGAUUAUCGAUUCAGCCUUGCCACUGUUUACGUCCGCAGCGUCACAAAGGAGUUAAUGUAACGGAGUUAGAUCGGUCGGAAGGGAUUCCAAGAGAAACGCACUCGUCGGCACGAGGGAAAGAAGUCCUCUCCCCGCUUCCUCCGGAUUCCGUUUCGCAUGGAAAGAAAUCGAAACGGCGGACUUUUUUGCAUUUCGGCGGGAUAACGGCGAGCGUUCGACGGCUGCGAGGACCUCUAGCUCUCGGCGUCUUUUUAUACUACGUGUCCUUGUCACUAUAACCGUACCGUUGACGUCGCCCGGAUUUUUAGACGGUGAUUUCAUCCAUGGAGAUUAGUAAUCGGCCGAGAUUAUGUGGCACGCCGGCUUCCCGUUAGGGGAAACACCUUGCGCGCGGCCGAUCGAAGAGGACGCCCGCCAGCGAGACGACAGGGGAACCCCCUGUAAUGGAAUCGACUCUUUGCGGACGAAUCUCGACAUCCUGAGAUCACAUGUUCAUGUUUCGAGUUGCACACGAAUCAUUUGGUUGAAUACCGGCGUGUUUACUUUUACCUGUACUUGACACGUCGAAUGCCGGGUCACCGGUGACCCUCGAAUAGGAUCACUAUAUACUUGAUUCUCAUUUACGCGAAAGUCUGUUCCAUGGGUUCGUUUCGAACGAAAAUCGCGUAGAAGUCGAUACGAGAGAAAAGAAUGUUGAAGAGAAGCUGGUAUAAGUUUCGUCCGCAAAGGGUUGAAAUAUUCUGGAACUCCUGUUUUACAAUGGCCGACUCGUAUCAACCCUUUGCACUCGACAAUAUUUUUCACUACAAGUAUUCAUGAUUUCCCGAUGAAAUAUUGGUACUGCGACUGACAAAGAGGAAUCUUGCUUCAAUUAACCCUUUGCACUCGAGAAUAUUUUUCUCAAUAAAUAUUCAUUACUUUCUGAUGAAAUGUCAAUGAUAUUUUUUACAAUUAACAUAAGGAAAUACCUUGCUUAAAUUAAGUGACAAUAUUGACGUGUUCGGACAUUAUAUAAAAUUUAAUAUUGAAUUUUUAAUUAUACAAUGUUCUUGGGUCAAAUCAAAUGGCGACUGGAAGGCGCCUCUCGAGUGCAAAGGGUUAAGGGUCAACUAUUUAUUAUAACUAUGUUGAAACGAACGACUUGUCGCCUCUCGAAUACAAAGGGUUAAUCUGGCUCUCCGCUCGACUCAGUUUCUCAUGGAGAAUUUCACUGAAUUCCUCUUUAAACCGCGUUAUAGGGGGUUCUACGCGCUCGAUUCUCGACACGCGAGAAGCCUGCGUCGCGUGUACUCGCUCCAUCGUACCGAAACUUCUACAAAAACGCGUGCGAAAUUCUGGCAGAUAAGUUCAGUAAGAAAUCCUUCGGCUAAUCCUCUGCAAGACUCGUUUACCAGUUUAUCUUCCGAGUCUUCGGCUUGAUUGCACCUAGCGACUAAAAUCACCGAUUUCCCGACUAAUCGGAGAUCCUCCAAGAUCAAUCGUGAAUUCAAUCGAAACUCGACUUACAUUAGAAUUUCCAUAAACGAGAGAUCGCUGGAGUGCGGUGCGUUCGAGCGAAAAGGCGAAUCCGCAGGGGAACACGGGAAGAAAGUCGUGCGGACGACGUUAAUUAUCUACUCCGUAGUUAGCGACGAGAUGAGAUCGUGCAAUAAAGUUCAUGAAACGACCGGUACCAUUCCACGCGUUCAACUAUACGGGUAUUAACCAGUUUUCCAUUUUCAAGCGAAUCUCGAUGUCACUUUGUUCCGUUGUCGAGCAAUAAUCUGUGGCGACGAUCGGCGGGCGAGAGAGAACUCUUUCUUCCUCGUAUCCUUCCGUAGUUUUCUCUGACCGAUAUAAAUGCCAUAGGGACCCCGAGCGGCGGGUUCAGGACGCGCCUGUUCUCCGGCGAGAGACGCCUGAUGUAUUCGAAUCGUUUCUCUGCGUGUACAGUGUCUAUGUAAUCAGACCCUUUCGUGAAUAUAUCCACGUGUAUGUUAAUGUAACGUUAAUCCGCAGUCUCGUAGCGUUCCGAACGGGAGGGCCGUCGGCCGAUUAGCACCGCGACACGUUCGCCGUAGAAUUUUCACGAGCUGCCUCGAGAAAACGAGGGAAAAUUAUUAGACCGGUCGACCGACCCGCGGUAUCGGUGUUCCAAAUCGCCUUUCACGCUUAGACGUGCGCUCGUUGGCCAACGGUUCGAAAUCGAUCGUUCGUUUCUGUGAUGUUCCGUUGAUUUUGACUGGAGAACCGUAAGGUUGCGAUGACCGAACGCUUAGGCGACUUCUAUUAUCUUCAAUUGAAUUGAUCCAAUCGAUCGGUUAGAAACUGUGUUUUUAAAGAGAACCGUAUUUGAUGAAUUGCAAAUAAUUCUAGUUGAGGAUUUAGCAAGUAACAGAAGGAAAUACAAACAAUGAAAGGUAAUAUGAAACAAUGAUCCGUAUGGUUAAUCCGAGCGAGUGUGAAGGGAUCUAUCACUAUUGCCCGUUGGAACACCGUGAUCGCGACAGGGAACGGUAUAACAGGAUGCAAGUCGAAUGCGAGCAACGAUAGACCGUAGGGUUUAAUAUGAAAUUGAUAGAAAUCUGAUCAAUAUCAUCAGGCCUAAUAUACUUAACGUUGCGUGUAUUUGUUGUUGUUGCCGGUUCAUAUCUUAUAUAUUCCGAAUAUUGAAAGAAGGAUAUUUCGUCUAUAAAUUUUCAAUGUUAUACGUCAUUUAUGAUAAAACAUCGACGAGAGGAAAAACACAAAAAAAUUCGAGUGAGAGAGCUGUAAACGUGAGACAGAGAGAAUGAGAGCAAACGAGAGAGAGUGAGAGAGUGA
Molecule: non-coding RNA, 4470 nt
Organism: Nomia melanderi (Alkali bee)
Lineage: Eukaryota; Metazoa; Arthropoda; Insecta; Hymenoptera; Halictidae
Source: RefSeq, a predicted model, not a curated record